This 791-nucleotide ribosomal RNA is filed under the name uncultured bacterium. Its description in RNAcentral is "bacterial SSU rRNA". It matches the Rfam family "Bacterial small subunit ribosomal RNA", at positions 74 to 857 of the family's 1533-position model. The record is from RNAcentral.
AUGAAGGAUUUUGUGACUGAGUGGCGGACGGGGUGAGUAACGCGUGGAUAACCUGCCUCAUACAGGGGGAUAACAGCCGGAAACGGCUGCUAAUACCGCAUAAGCGCACGGUACCGCAUGGUACAGUGUGAAAAACUCCGGUGGUAUGGGAUGGAUCCGCGUCUGAUUAGCCAGUUGGCGGGGUAACGGCCCACCAAAGCGACGAUCAGUAGCCGACCUGAGAGGGUGACCGGCCACAUUGGGACUGAGACAAGGCCCAAACUCCUACGGGGGGCAGCAGUAGGGAAUCUUCCACAAUGGGUGAAAACCUGAUGGAGCAAUGCCGCGUGAAUGAAGAAGGUCUUCGGAUCGUAAAGUUCUGUUAUUAGAGAAGAACAAGUCAAGGAGUAACUGUCUUGACUUUGACGGUACCUAACCAGAAAGUCACGGCUAACUACGUGCCAGCAGCCGCGGUAAUACGUAGGUGACAAGCGUUGUCCGGAAUUAUUGGGCGUAAAGGGAGCGCAGGCGGUUGGAAUAGUCUGAUGUGAAAGCCCACGGCUUAACCGUGGAAGGUCAUUGGAAACUGUCCAACUUGAAUACAGAAGAGGUAAGUGGAAUUCCAAGUGUAGCGGUGAAAUGCGUAGAUAUUUGGAGGAACACCAGUGGCGAAGGCGACUUACUGGUCUGUAAUUGACACUGAGGCUCGAAAGCGUGGGUAGCAAACAGGAUUAGAUACCCUGGUAGUCCACGCCGUAAACGAUGAGUGCUAAGUGUUAGGGGGUUUCCGCCCCUUAGUGCUGGAGUUAACG